This 490-nucleotide ribosomal RNA is filed under the name uncultured bacterium. RNAcentral's name for it is "partial 16S ribosomal RNA". It matches the Rfam family "Bacterial small subunit ribosomal RNA", at positions 30 to 507 of the family's 1533-position model. The record is from RNAcentral.
AUUGAACGCUGGCGGCAGGCCUAACACAUGCAAGUCGAACGGUAACAGGAAGAAGCUUGCUUCUUUGCUGACGAGUGGCGGACGGGUGAGUAAUGUUUGGGAAACUGCCUGAUGGAGGGGGAUAACUACUGGAAACGGUAGCUAAUACCGCAUAACGUCGCAAGACCAAAAAGGGGGACCUUCGGGCCUCUUGCCAUCGGAUGUGCCCAGAUGGGAUUAGCUAGUAGGUGGGGUAACGGCUCACCUAGGCGACGAUCCCUAGCUGGUCUGAGAGGAUGACCAGCCACACUGGAACUGAGACACGGUCCAGACUCCUACGGGAGGCAGCAGUGGGGAAUAUUGCACAAUGGGCGCAAGCCUGAUGCAGCCAUGCCGCGUGUAUGAAGAAGGCCUUCGGGUUGUAAAGUACUUUCAGCGGGGAGGAAGGGAGUAAAGUUAAUACCUUUGCUCAUUGACGUUACCCGCAGAAGAAGCACCGGCUAACUCCGUG